GCUCCGACUCUAUAAAUAGAAUCUAUAAAUAGAAUGACAAAGCGAAGGAAACGAAAUUUUAAACUGAUUUCCGCCAUUAAAAAAUAACAUGAAACCUACAGUUCACGACACAUCGCAUAGGAAUUUAAAAUAAAUAUUAGGCCUAUAGGUUUAAUACAUACUGCAUAGAAUCUAGAAAUUUAGAUCUAGUGUUCUGGUUAGUUUAGAAUAUAGUCUAGAAUCUAAUCAUACGGCUGCAUAAAAAGAAAGUUUGAAGGAAAUAGAAUAGGAAUCUGCAGAAGCGGAGUGUUUUCCGCACUCGAGAGGAAAGAGGUUGCAGGGAACUUAGAGACUAAACCUUGCCAGCAUACUGGAUUUCUGGUGAUGACAAUAGCAGCAGAUAGUAUGCGGCUCAGUUAAUACUAAAAACAAUUGAUUUUAGUAAUUAGUGGACUAUGAGUGUGUGUUUGGCCAUCCAGAUUUCAUAACUACAACUGAUGUUCAAUUACAAUGGAUAUUAAUCAGUCUCACUGUGCCUA
This is a long non-coding RNA of Physella acuta, 518 nucleotides long. RefSeq lists it as uncharacterized. NCBI's taxonomy places the organism in Eukaryota, Metazoa, Mollusca, Gastropoda, Physidae. The record is from RefSeq and is a predicted model, not a curated record.